CGGCAAGCCAAUAGAGUGUGCGGACUCACGCUUGUCAAUCUAGAUCCGAGCCUUGAAGUGAGCGAGACAGCAAGGGACGGCGAUGAAUCCAUGUAGUAAGACGACGGUGGCGCGCCGAGGCGAAGGAAGGCAGCUGCAGCAUGCUAGACAGUGGGGGCGCUGCGGUGGUCAGCGAGCUCCACCCGAUCUGCACCUCCGUUUCAAAUUGCAGCUCUAUCCGGCCGGCCGCCCCCAUAGUUUAGGCCUGAGUCAGGUACGCCUUCUUUGUUGAGUCGUGCUGCUACUGAGUUAUUGCUGGUCUGCUUGAGAAGUUGUGGUUGUCUUGGAAUGUGAUAACUUAGCACUAAUGUUGGCAGAUCUGAAAUACAAUGGGUCUCCAUCAUUUCAUUUCUAUUUGUUCAAAUCCAUGGACUGCAUUUCUUGAUCUGAUUUACUUGUUAAUUUGAUUUACCCAUGGGUAUUUGACAGAGUUGUCUGUACCUGGCAAAGUUAUCCACGCUUGUGCCUUGCUAGGUCAGCGUGAAUACCAUGAACCCGAAUACAUACAUAUCUGUCAAUAAUAUGGAUAAAAUUAGAAUUUGACUUGAUAGGAAAUAUUGAGAAAGAAAUGUUCCACAAUUUCGUACAAUUUACCCCUCUGUGCAGUCUCUCCCAUGUCGUGGUCCAAGCAGCAGCCACUUGAAGGAAACGUGGUCUAGCUCCUAGGAGGCAUGCCUGUUGGUUGUUCACGACUGAAUGUACUCUAAAAAUCCUAUGGUAAAAAAUGAAAACAAGGGGUGGAUGGCUAUAUUGAAUGAACAAUGCUAGAUUAUGAUAUUUACCUUACUGCUGCACAAUCAAGAAAGUUCAUAACACAUAGCAAGUUAUUAGUGACUGCAUUAGAAGAAACGAAAGAGCAUUUGAUAAUUCUGAUGCAUAUCUUGCGGAUUCAUAGUUUGUUCAGGAGUUACAGCAUAUUCAGUUUGUGAUGGGUAGAAGAUACACAUACCGCCAAAUAGUUAUUAUGCAAUAAGUUGAUCCUAUGCACUUGCUCGAUCUACUAUAUGCUAAGUCCAUAUUUAGUGAGCAUGAUCCACUGCUGUUCUAACUGCUUGUUAGUAUAGUUUGGCCAACUGCGAAGUCCUAAUGUAGGCAAAAGUUUGGUAGCACAAGUAUAUCUUGAUAGUCCUAUAAGAAAUAUUUUUGUGUCAGUUACAAUAAAUUUCUAGGAUCUUAGAUUAUAUUUGAACAAUGUGAAUACAUAUGUAAGGUAGAGUAUACAACCUUUUACUUGUGUGAGGCUUGACUACAUAAUUUCCUUGGUUCUUGUGCUGGUAUUUAUCACUGUCAUCAUUGCUGGUAUCCUGUGACAUGUAGCAUGCUAUAAAUUUGGGAUUGACUGUAGAUAUCUUCAAACCUUCUUUUACUAACA
Molecule: long non-coding RNA, 1411 nt
Organism: Panicum virgatum (switchgrass)
Lineage: Eukaryota; Viridiplantae; Streptophyta; Magnoliopsida; Poales; Poaceae
Exons: 2
Source: RefSeq, a predicted model, not a curated record